AUACUACUCCCUCCGUUCCAAAUUACUCGUCGUAGAAAUGGAUGUAUCUAAAACUAAAAUACAUCUAGAUACAUCCAUAUCUGCGACAAGUAAUUCAGAACGGAGGGAGUAUUAA
Molecule: non-coding RNA, 115 nt
Organism: Triticum urartu
Lineage: Eukaryota; Viridiplantae; Streptophyta; Magnoliopsida; Poales; Poaceae
Source: Rfam